AGUGAACGCUGGCGGUAGGCCUAACACAUGCAAGUCGAACGGCAGCACAGUAAGAGCUUGCUCUUACGGGUGGCGAGUGGCGGACGGGUGAUGAAUACAUCGGAAUCUACUUUUUCGUGGGGGAUAACGUAGGGAAACUUACGCUAAUACCGCAUACGACCUACGGGUGAAAGCAGGGGAUCUUCGGACCUUGCGCGAUUGAAUGAGCCGAUGUCGGAUUAGCUAGUUGGCGGGGUAAAGGCCCACCAAGGCGACGAUCCGUAGCUGGUCUGAGAGGAUGAUCAGCCACACUGGAACUGAGACACGGUCCAGACUCCUACGGGAGGCAGCAGUGGGGAAUAUUGGACAAUGGGCGCAAGCCUGAUCCAGCCAUACCGCGUGGGUGAAGAAGGCCUUCGGGCUGUAAAGCACUUUUGUUGGGAAAGAAAAGCAGCAGGUUAAUACCCCGCUGUUCUGACGGUACCCAAAGAAUAAGCACCGGCUAACUUCGUG
Molecule: ribosomal RNA, 492 nt
Filed under: uncultured bacterium
Lineage: Bacteria
Description: partial 16S ribosomal RNA
Rfam family: Bacterial small subunit ribosomal RNA
Source: RNAcentral